GACAAACAAUCACCUGUGUCAGGUGUGCUGGAACAGAGACGCACCGACAAUAAGAAGGAGUCUAUUUAGAGCAGCAAGAAACCAACAGAAAUGUCUGGAGUUUGAUUCAAGUUAGCCAUUAGCACAGAGGAGUUCCCACCGCCAGCUAACCUGGACCGCUCUGUGGCAGCGGAAACAACCAGAGCAAAUGGCAGGAACACCAGGAGAGGUCAAAUCAAUACUUCCAGUACAUUGGAGAUGAACAAAAGGAAGCAGUGGUCAGCCUGGCAUCAUGAUGAGCUCAGCCUGGAUGAUAAUGGCAGAUGACUGCAGGUGAACGCACAACUCUCAUCAGUUUCCGUUCGAGAAGUGAGCGGAGAUCAUCUGUGACAAAGCCUUACAGAAAGACGAUCUCUUUGGGGGGGGAAAAAAGAAAAUCUCUGGAAUCAACUCCCCGGUGACGCUAACAAGAACUGAAGUCGACAGAUUGUAUCGCCCAGGGUCAAGCACCUCCACCAUAGUCCACCAUCGCAAAAGUGGCGAUUUCAACACAAAGGCCGGAAAGUGAGUUGUGAGAGACGAGGAAGACAUGUGCCAAAGGUCAAAUCAUGACGGCCGCGUCAAGGACCGAGACGUCCGUAUGUGAGUCACGUGCUUUACCUCUGCACCAUCGCCACUCCC
Long non-coding RNA from Poecilia latipinna (sailfin molly), 660 nucleotides. RefSeq lists it as uncharacterized. The record is from RefSeq and is a predicted model, not a curated record. The transcript has 5 exons. Lineage: Eukaryota; Metazoa; Chordata; Actinopteri; Cyprinodontiformes; Poeciliidae.